GGCUUAGAGUUUGAUCAUGGCUCAGGACGAACGCUGGCGGCGUGCCUAAUACAUGCAAGUCGAACGAAACUUUCUUACACCGAAUGCUUACAUUCACCGUAAGAAGUUGAGUGGCGGACGGGUGAGUAACACGUGGGUAACCUGCCUAAAAGAAGGGGAUAACACUUGGAAACAGAUGCUAAUACCGUAUAUCUCUAAGGAUCGCAUGAUCCUUAGAUGAAAGAUGGUUCUGCUAUCGCUUUUAGAUGGACCCGCGGCGUAUUAACUAGUUGGUGGGGUAACGGCCUACCAAGGUGAUGAUACGUAGCCGAACUGAGAGGUUGAUCGGCCACAUUGGGACUGAGACACGGCCCAAACUCCUACGGGAGGCAGCAGUAGGGAAUCUUCCACAAUGGACGCAAGUCUGAUGGAGCAACGCCGCGUGAGUGAAGAAGGUCUUCGGAUCGUAAAACUCUGUUGUUAGAGAAGAACACGAGUGAGAGUAACUGUUCAUUCGAUGACGGUAUCUAACCAGCAAGUCACGGCUAACUACGUGCCAGCAGCCGCGGUAAUACGUAGGUGGCAAGCGUUGUCCGGAUUUAUUGGGCGUAAAGGGAACGCAGGCGGUCUUUUAAGUCUGAUGUGAAAGCCUUCGGCUUAACCGGAGUAGUGCAUUGGAAACUGGAAGACUUGAGUGCAGAAGAGGAGAGUGGAACUCCAUGUGUAGCGGUGAAAUGCGUAGAUAUAUGGAAGAACACCAGUGGCGAAAGCGGCUCUCUGGUCUGUAACUGACGCUGAGGUUCGAAAGCGUGGGUAGCAAACAGGAUUAGAUACCCUGGUAGUCCACGCCGUAAACGAUGAAUGCUAGUGGUUGGAGGGUUUCCGCCCUUCAGU
This 873-nucleotide ribosomal RNA is filed under the name uncultured organism. RNAcentral's name for it is "bacterial SSU rRNA". It matches the Rfam family "Bacterial small subunit ribosomal RNA", at positions 1 to 844 of the family's 1533-position model. The record is from RNAcentral.